CGAUUACUGCUCAGUAACACGUAGUCAACCUAACCUAUGGACGGAAAUAACCUCGGGAAACUGAGAAUAAUGUCCGAUAGAACACUAUACCUGGAAUGGUUUGUGUUCCAAAUGAUUUAUCGCCGUAGGAUGGGACUGCGGCCUAUCAGUUUGUUGGUGAGGUAAUGGCCCACCAAGACUAUUACAGGUACGGGCUCUGAGAGGAGUAGCCCGGAGAUGGGUACUGAGACACGGACCCAGGCCCUAUGGGGCGCAGCAGGCGAGAAAACUUUGCAAUGUGCGAAAGCACGACAAGGUUAAUCCGAGUGAUUUGUGCUAAACGAAUCUUUUGUUAGUCUUAGAACCACUAACGAAUAAGGGGUGGGCAAGUUCUGGUGUCAGCCGCCGCGGUAAAACCAGCACCUCAAGUGGUCAGGAUGAUUAUUGGGCCUAAAGCAUCCGUAACCGGCUCUGUAAGUUUUCGGUUAAAUCUGUACGCUCAACGUACAGGCUGCCGGGAAUACUGCAGAGCUAGGGAGUGGGAGAGGUAGACGGUACUCGGAAGGAAGGGGUAAAAAUCCUUUGAUCUUU
RNAcentral lists this ribosomal RNA (570 nucleotides) under uncultured archaeon. RNAcentral's name for it is "bacterial SSU rRNA". It matches the Rfam family "Archaeal small subunit ribosomal RNA", at positions 80 to 650 of the family's 1478-position model. The record is from RNAcentral.